GAGGUACGCGAGCUGGGUUUAGAACGUCGUGAGACAGUUCGGUCCCUAUCUACCGUGGGCGUUGGAAAUUUGAGAGGAUCUGCUCCUAGUACGAGAGGACCAGAGUGGACGAACCUCUGGUGUUUCGGUUGUGACGCCAGUCGCAUUGCCGAGUAGCUAUGUUCGGAUGGGAUAACCGCUGAAAGCAUCUAAGCGGGAAGCCCACCUUAAGAUUAGAUUUCCCUAAAGAGCCGUUGUAGACUACGACGUUGAUAGGUUGGGUGUGGAA
RNAcentral lists this ribosomal RNA (268 nucleotides) under Salmonella enterica subsp. enterica serovar Derby. RNAcentral describes it as "partial 23S ribosomal RNA". It matches the Rfam family "Bacterial large subunit ribosomal RNA", at positions 2593 to 2872 of the family's 2925-position model. The record is from RNAcentral. Lineage: Bacteria; Pseudomonadati; Pseudomonadota; Gammaproteobacteria; Enterobacterales; Enterobacteriaceae.